Serinus canaria (Common canary) is the source of this 161-nucleotide long non-coding RNA. RefSeq lists it as uncharacterized. The transcript has 3 exons. The record is from RefSeq and is a predicted model, not a curated record. Lineage: Eukaryota; Metazoa; Chordata; Aves; Passeriformes; Fringillidae.
CACCACAGGGGGCACAGGGUGGGCACAGGUAUGGCACCACAGGGGGCACAGGGUGGGCACAGGUACUGCACAGGUAUGGCACCACAGGGGGCACAGGUACUGCACAGGUAUGGCACCACUGGGUGCAUGGGGGGGGCACAGGUACUGCACAGGUAUGGCAC